Molecule: small nuclear RNA, 160 nt
Filed under: Carlito syrichta (Philippine tarsier)
Lineage: Eukaryota; Metazoa; Chordata; Mammalia; Primates; Tarsiidae
Description: U1 spliceosomal RNA (ENSTSYG00000023455.2)
Rfam family: U1 spliceosomal RNA
About the family: U1 is a small nuclear RNA (snRNA) component of the spliceosome (involved in pre-mRNA splicing).
Source: Rfam by way of RNAcentral
CUGCAUAAAAAGUAGAGUACCAUGAUCACAAAGGUGGUUUUCCCAGGGCGAGGCUUAUCUAUUGCACUCCAGAUGUGCUGACCCCUGCAAUUUCCCCAAAUGUGGGAAACUCGACUGCAUAAUUUGUGGUAGUGGGGGACUGCAUUCGCGCUCUCCCCUG